Molecule: ribosomal RNA, 1429 nt
Filed under: uncultured organism
Description: SSU rRNA
Rfam family: Bacterial small subunit ribosomal RNA
Source: RNAcentral
GCAGGCUUAACACAUGCAAGUCGAGGGGCAUCAGGACGUAAGCUUGCUUUCUUUGCUGGCGACCGGCGCACGGGUGAGUAACACGUAUCCAACCUGCCCUUUACUCGGGGAUAGCCUUUCGGAAGAAAGAUUAAUACCCGAUGGCAUAAUGAUUCCGCAUGGUUUCAUUAUUAAAGGAUUCCGGUAAAGGAUGGGGAUGCGUUCCAUUAGGUUGUUGGUGAGGUAACGGCUCACCAAGCCUUCGAUGGAUAGGGGUUCUGAGAGGAAGGUCCCCCACAUUGGAACUGAGACACGGUCCAAACUCCUACGGGAGGCAGCAGUGAGGAAUAUUGGUCAAUGGGCGCUAGCCUGAACCAGCCAAGUAGCGUGAAGGAUGAAGGCUCUAUGGGUCGUAAACUUCUUUUAUAUAAGAAUAAAGUGCAGUAUGUAUACUGUUUUGUAUGUAUUAUAUGAAUAAGGAUCGGCUAACUCCGUGCCAGCAGCCGCGGUAAUACGGAGGAUCCGAGCGUUAUCCGGAUUUAUUGGGUUUAAAGGGAGCGUAGGUGGACUGGUAAGUCAGUUGUGAAAGUUUGCGGCUCAACCGUAAAAUUGCAGUUGAUACUGUCAGUCUUGAGUACAGUAGAGGUGGGCGGAAUUCGUGGUGUAGCGGUGAAAUGCUUAGAUAUCACGAAGAACUCCGAUUGCGAAGGCAGCUCACUGGACUGCAACUGACACUGAUGCUCGAAAGUGUGGGUAUCAAACAGGAUUAGAUACCCUGGUAGUCCACACAGUAAACGAUGAAUACUCGCUGUUUGCGAUAUACAGUAAGCGGCCAAGCGAAAGCAUUAAGUAUUCCACCUGGGGAGUACGCCGGCAACGGUGAAACUCAAAGGAAUUGACGGGGGCCCGCACAAGCGGAGGAACAUGUGGUCUAAUUCGAUGAUACGCGAGGAACCUUACCCGGGCUUAAAUUGCAGUGGAAUGAUGUGGAAACAUGUCAGUGAGCAAUCACCGCUGUGAAGGUGCUGCAUGGUUGUCGUCAGCUCGUGCCGUGGGGUGUCGGCUUAAGUGCCAUAACGAGCGCAACCCUUAUCUUCAGUUACUAACAGGUCAUGCUGAGGACUCUGGAGAGACUGCCGUCGUAAGAUGUGAGGAAGGUGGGGAUGACGUCAAAUCAGCACGGCCCUUACGUCCGGGGCUACACACGUGUUACAAUGGGGGGUACAGAAGGCAGCUAGCGGGUGACCGUAUGCUAAUCCCAAAAUCCUCUCUCAGUUCGGAUCGAAGUCUGCAACCCGACUUCGUGAAGCUGGAUUCGCUAGUAAUCGCGCAUCAGCCACGGCGCGGUGAAUACGUUCCCGGGCCUUGUACACACCGCCCGUCAAGCCAUGGGAGCCGGGGGUACCUGAAGUACGUAACAGCAAGGAUCGUCCUAGGGUAAAACUGGUGA